CUGGUCCUCCCAGAUUUGCACAGUCUUUCAAGAGCAAUACAGCAACAUCACAGUGACAUGAGGAAGCUCUUACAGCACUCCCCGACACUUUUUACUCAAGUGUUUAUGUCUGUGUGUUCACAGGACUAAAUGUAUGAAGUUGCUGAAGCCCUGAAGCUCUGCUGGGAAUAGCAUGGACCACAGCGUUGAUCUUCUGAGGAGCUCAAACAGCAAUCUUCCUCCCAGCCCGUGUGCUCCAGAGAGAAGACAGGCAAUUGUGCAGAAGGAGAUGGCACCACGGGGUGAGGAGCAGCCCAGCACCGGGGAAGGGAUGUGCCUGAGGAGUGGAGCUGAGCAGCGGGCAGGAGGAGAUGCCGGGAGCUUUCCAGGGUGCUCAGCUGUCUGCCCAGGAGGAGCGCCACCUCCUCCACGCACUGCAGAGCCUGGAGAAGAGUGGCCAAAAGCCUCUUGGUGGUGGACACGGCCUUGUUUCCUUCAGGAUCUUCAGUGUCUGAAGGGCCAGUGAAGAGAUAGAUGGACUGGGGUCUUGUUGCACUCCGUGAAGGGCUUAGCUAAUAGAGGAACAGAAGGACAAUGACAGCCGUGUACCUGCAGGCCCACUCCAGCCGUUGCCGCCAGUGCUCCUCACUGACAGAAGGGAGCAAGGGACAGGCAUGUCACCUGCUGAUCUGCCAUGACAUCCUACUCCCUGACUCACCCUGGU
RNAcentral lists this long non-coding RNA (703 nucleotides) under Gallus gallus (chicken). RNAcentral describes it as "long non-coding RNA NONGGAT002115". The record is from RNAcentral. Lineage: Eukaryota; Metazoa; Chordata; Aves; Galliformes; Phasianidae.